This is an RNA transcript of Oncorhynchus masou masou (cherry salmon), 3580 nucleotides long. It is a transcript of the gene named zinc finger protein with KRAB and SCAN domains 7-like, with no coding region annotated. The transcript is spliced from 4 exons. The record is from RefSeq and is a predicted model, not a curated record. Lineage: Eukaryota; Metazoa; Chordata; Actinopteri; Salmoniformes; Salmonidae.
CUCUAUUUCGUUUGUUUUUGUUCCGGAAACAAAAGGUUGUCGGCUACAUCCUCGAUAUUUUUCCAAAAUAAAGGUUGCAACACACAAUAUUUAUGUUAGUUUCAACAUUGCCACCUACUGUAUCAUAGCUGCUAUUUAAAGGAAUCAAAUGUUUUACAAAUCAGCCUUCUUUGACUUAUAAUAAAGCAGUGAAUUAAAUCAAACACACACAUUUUCCUUCAACAAUGAUUAUUUACUAUUUAGUUCAAGUACAAAAAUACACAACCAUCAUACAAUAUGACGUUCAAAGGAAUAAAUCAAUGCCUUCAAUAAAAGUAAAUCGAAGAGUAGACUCAGGGUUAAUAUUUGUCUCAAAACUAACUGAAAAACCACACUGAGAAUGUACUCUUAAGUAAACGCUUGCUAACUCUGAACAAUGUAACAGUUUAAAGAGAAAACUAUUCGAAUAUAGCAUAAAUAGCUAAUGGGACUGAGUGGAUUGAUAAUGUAUAAAUUAUGACAGCUGAAGAUUUUAAACAUCCCUAUGAAUUUGCUUCCAUGUAAGCAUUUCACGGUAAGAUUGUAUUGGGCGCAUGUGAGAAAUAAAAAAUGUAAAUAUUUAAUCAUUACAAUUUAAUUUUGCAUCUCAACAAUAUAAAUGUACUAUUAGACUGAUCGGCUACAAGCAAAUUAUAGUGAUGGAUGGAAUUAAUAUCUAUUUAAUGUCAGUUAUACUGUUGUUUCAUGAUCAAAACAGCAAUAACAUGGUUUACGCCAGAGAACCUGUAGUUUAUUACAUAGCUACAACAUUGUUGUUAUUGUGGAACACUCCUGUACAAUAGGUGGCGGUGUCCAACUUUCAACUCUACCAUCCAGCAUAAGGAAACAUAAUCUCACCAGCUAAAAACAAAACUAGCCAGCGAUGUGUAGUUUUUGAUAUGAUUAUCUUUAAUUUAAUAGCUAGCUAGAUAACUGUAAAUUCACAUAACAUAGAAAACAUAAAAACUUUUUCGUUGAAAAGGGGCCAAAAGCGUCGGGGGAAAAUGUCGGGUUCCGUGGUCGAGUUCCAGGCGCAGAUAGCCUCAAUCAUGGAGGUGCUAGCCAACGCGGCUGUAGCCGAAAUCUGCAAAAUUGUUGACGAUGGCUAUGCCGUUGUACAUCUGGAGAUUUCCCAAAGCCACAAGGACAACGACUUUCUCCGGAGGAAAUUGAAAUUGAUGGAAUUUCAGAUCGCAAGGUUUCGGGCUGAGAGAAUAAAGCUUUCAGAGGGGUCCGUCCACAAUCGCUUCCAUGGAAUACGCCUCCUAAACAGACACAACCAUCGAGAGAAGGCAAUGACAGGACCUACUUGGCAAAGCAGAAACAGACUUUCCAACAGGAGUUUUGGGAACAGCAGCAUUCAAAGAGACAGACAGCCCAUAGACGUGGACCAAGAGGAUGUCUCUCCAUCAAAGCAUAUGGAUGCUACAAGUGAUGAGCAGUCAGCAGAGACAGAGGAAGGGGAACCAGACCUGCUGAUCAUCAAGGAUGAGGGGGAAGCAGAUGACCAGGACUCUAGGAUCAGCCACCCAGCUAGAACAGUGGAGAGCAGCAGAGAACUAACCACCCAACUGGCUGCAGCCACCACAGAGGACCCCGCCUUCCAGCUCAGUGGCCCCAGAGGCAACAACAACUACAACACCGCUUUGGAGGUCAGUGGAUCUGACGCCGUCCUCCUCCAAUCAGAAACAGGGAAUGUGAACCAGGGACCCCAGCAACACACAGGAUUUGAACCCAGAGCAGAGAGAGAGAGUCUGGACACUAAGUGUGACAUGAACAGGGACCUCAAUCUCCUAAGAGGUUCUUUAAACCAGGUUUGGAGAGAGGUAGUAGCGACUGAUGAUGGCGCCUCUGCUGCUCACACUAAAGUAAUGAACCUAGGAAGUGGCCCAGUGGGCCCAGAAGCACAGAAUAGCUCAGACAUAGAAAUGAGAAGUGUAGGGUUAGAAAACCACAGGUUUUCCCCCAAGUCAUUCCAUUCUUCAUCAGAACAUGUGAUAGUGAUUGACUCUGUAUCCAGUGGCCAGCAGGUAGAUAGAGAUUUAGAGUGGGGUCAGGUGGGUACAGCUCCUACACAACAGGUCAAUGGGACUGGAAAUAGGCAGGGAGUGGGAGUGUUUGAGAGGAACGCACCAAUGAUUCGCCCCGUUCACCCCGAAUCGAUGAGAGACAACACUAUGCAAUUGGUUUCACCCGGAUUCCGGCCCUCAGAGAUAAAUACAGGCAUGCAUCUUGACACAGGAAAUGCAGGUGAGGCCAAUAAAGCUAGUUGGUGUUCGUUGGCAAGCUUCCAUAGACUCUCUGAAAUACCAGGAAGAGGAGCUCAACAACCAGCUCAUGCCUCACUUCCUUUCUGCCAUUUUAGACCAAGCACCACAACUUCCUGUCACUCGAUUAAUCUUGCCACAGACAUUACACCUGGCACCAUAGAACGACCGCAUGGUUGCCCAACAUGCCAUAAGAAGUUUGUCCACGAGAGUGACUUGCGGCGGCAUGUGGCCAUCCACACCAGAAAGCGAUCAUUCUCCUGCACCUUGUGUGAGAAGAGCUUUGUGUGCGCCAGCCAUCUCCAAAUGCACCUGAACGUCCACACUGGGGAGAAGCCCUUCAGUUGUGCACAGUGCGGGCGCAGGUUCUCCCACUCCAGCAAUCUGAAAAGACAUCAGAAGCUUCAUCAUUGAGACAAAGGCUGUGACAGUCAUGGAGUUUUGGAUGGUGGUAAUUGAUCAGCCUAAUAACCUUGGUCACCAUUAUAACCGUUUGAAUUGCAAAAGACAAACAUUUUCUUCUUUCCUCCGCUCCUGAAUUGUUUCACCAAGGAGCAACAAAGUUUCAUCACGUUGGAGAUUCCAUGUUACAGCAGAAACCAUGGGGAUCCUAUUAAAUUACUAGAGGGGCUAUGUCAUAAACACUCAGUUCUAGAAUGGGGUGAAUAUGUCAGCCAUUUUAGUCAGGGAAAAAUCCAAACCAGUCUAAUUGGAAUGAAUGGCAGUAGAGGCAGAGGUGAUUCAUAGAUGGAGUCAAGAGGUCAAUGGAAUGCAGACCACGGGGAAUAGAAGAAGGAUGCCAGAUUGGCACAAGUUCAAGAAAUCUUAACUAACAAAGUCGAUAUUCACAAAUCCGUCAUGAUUGUGCCUCUGGAGUGGAGCAGAGGUCUAAGGCUUAAGUCACUUCAGAUUCAGGUUCGAUCCCAGACCCAUGAGGCAGCGGACAAUUGACCCAGGGUCGUCCGGGUUUGGGGACAGCCGGGUUGUCCUUUUCCCAUCGCACUCUAGCGACUCCUGUGGCGGGCCAUGCGCAAUGCACCUCCACAUUGGUGCGUCUGGCUUCCAGGUUAAGCGAGCAGUAUGUCAAGAAGCAGUGUGGUUUGGCGGUGUUGUGUUUCGGAGCACACACGGCUCUCGACCUUCGCCUCUCCCGAGUCCAUACAGGAGUUGCAGCGAUGGUACAAGACUGUAACUACCAACUGGGGAGAAAAAGGGCAGUCAGGAGAGACAGAGGAAGGGGAACCAGACCUGCUGAUCAUCAAGGUGGAGGGAGAAGCAGAUGACCAGGACUCUAG